CCGUGUUAGUCGGGGAGCAAGUGAUUGCUGAGACUGCGAAAGCAGGACCCGUAGAACCUGAUCCAGUUAGCACUGGCGGAGGGAACUGACACGUUCAGCAC
Molecule: non-coding RNA, 101 nt
Filed under: Salinivibrio sp. KP-1
Lineage: Bacteria; Pseudomonadati; Pseudomonadota; Gammaproteobacteria; Vibrionales; Vibrionaceae
Also listed under: 1 other name
Description: TPP riboswitch aptamer (THI element)
Rfam family: TPP riboswitch aptamer (THI element)
About the family: Vitamin B(1) in its active form thiamin pyrophosphate (TPP) is an essential coenzyme that is synthesised by coupling of pyrimidine and thiazole moieties in bacteria. The previously detected thiamin-regulatory element, thi box was extended, resulting in a new, highly conserved RNA secondary structure, the THI element, which is widely distributed in eubacteria and also occurs in some archaea. Analysis of operon structures identified a large number of new candidate thiamin-regulated genes, mostly transporters, in various prokaryotic organisms.
Source: Rfam by way of RNAcentral